This 301-nucleotide ribosomal RNA is filed under the name uncultured bacterium. RNAcentral's name for it is "partial 16S ribosomal RNA". It matches the Rfam family "Bacterial small subunit ribosomal RNA", at positions 509 to 807 of the family's 1533-position model. The record is from RNAcentral.
CAGCAGCCACGGGAAUACGUAGGUGGUAAGCGUUGUCCGGAAUUAUUGGGCGUAAAGGGCUCGCAGGCGGUUUCUUAAGUCUGAUGUGAAAGCCCCCGGCUCAACCGGGGAGGGUCAUUGGAAACUGGGAAACUUGAGUGCAGAAGAGGAGAGUGGAAUUCCCCGUGUAGCGGUGAAAUGCGUAGAGAUGUGGAGGAACACCAGUGGCGAAGGCGACUCUCUGGUCUGUAACUGACGCUGAGGAGCGAAAGCGUGGGGAGCGAACAGGAUUAGAUACCCCCGUAGUCCCUGUCUCUUAUAC